RNAcentral lists this ribosomal RNA (443 nucleotides) under uncultured bacterium. RNAcentral's name for it is "partial 16S ribosomal RNA". It matches the Rfam family "Bacterial small subunit ribosomal RNA", at positions 338 to 795 of the family's 1533-position model. The record is from RNAcentral.
CCUACGGGUGGCAGCAGUGGGGAAUAUUGCACAAUGGGCGAAAGCCUGAUGCAGCCACGCCGCGUGAAGGAAGCAGGGUUUCUGCUCUUUACCUUCUAUCAACCGGGCCGAAAGAAAUGACGGUACCUGCAUAAGAAGCCCCGGCUAACUACGUGCCAGCCGCCGCGGUAAUACGUAGCGGCCAAGCUUUAUCCGAAGUUACUGGGGUUAAAGGGUGUGUAGGCGGCAUGGUAAGCCAGAUGUGAAAGCCGUGGGCUUAAACCGAGGAUUGCAGUUGACACUAGCAAGCUAGAGUACAGGAGAGGAAAGCGGAAUUCAUAGUGUAGCGGUGAAAUGCGUAGAUAUUAUGAAGAACACCAGUGGCGAAGGCGGCUUUCUGGACUGAAACUGACGCUGAGGCACGAAAGCGUGGGGAGCGAACAGGAUUAGAUACCCCUGUAGUC